GGCAUGUGAGUUUGUCUGUCACCGAGAUCACUUUGGCCUGCCUGCGUGUCAAUCUGUCACUUCUUUGUACAGCAGCACUUGGAUUAACUGUCUCCGAGUCAAGGUGUCAUGAACAGUGACCGUGUCUCUUUUCGGUAAAAGCAUUGUGUCAGGUAGGAUCACCAACCACACAACCACCUGUUUGUUCCACCUUCACUGCACCCAGUUCCGUGGAAAAGACCUCACCCACGCUUUCAGUCCCUCGCCUCAGUCUCAGACACCUCUCCAUCCAACCUGGAUUCACCCCUCCACCUACAUGGGAGUCAGCUGAAAUCAUCCUGCCUUGCCUGGCUGCCCACUCGUCUAGUUGGAACA
This is a long non-coding RNA of Toxotes jaculatrix (banded archerfish), 354 nucleotides long. RefSeq lists it as uncharacterized. The transcript has 3 exons. Lineage: Eukaryota; Metazoa; Chordata; Actinopteri; Toxotidae. The record is from RefSeq and is a predicted model, not a curated record.